UACGUAGGGGGCAAGCGUUGUCCGGAAUUAUUGGGCGUAAAGCGCGCGCAGGCGGUCAAUUAAGUCUGGUGUUUAAGGCUGGGGCUCAACCCCAGUUCGCACUGGAAACUGGUUGACUUGAGUGCAGAAGAGGAAAGUGGAAUUCCACGUGUAGCGGUGAAAUGCGUAGAGAUGUGGAGGAACACCAGUGGCGAAGGCGACUUUCUGGGCUGUAACUGACGCUGAGGCGCGAAAGCGUGGGGAGCAAACAGG
Molecule: ribosomal RNA, 252 nt
Filed under: uncultured bacterium
Lineage: Bacteria
Description: partial 16S ribosomal RNA
Rfam family: Bacterial small subunit ribosomal RNA
Source: RNAcentral